GGUGAACGCUGGCGGCGUGCUUAACACAUGCAAGUCGAGCGAGUGAGUUCUUCGGAACGAUCUAGCGGCGGACGGGUGAGUAACACGUGGGCAACCUGCCUCAUAGAGGGGAAUAGCCUUCCGAAAGGGAGAUUAAUACCGCAUAACAUCGUUGAAGGGCAUCCUUCGAUGAUCAAAGGAGCAAUCCGCUAUGAGAUGGGCCCGCGGCGCAUUAGCUAGUUGGUGAGGUAACGGCUCACCAAGGCGACGAUGCGUAGCCGACCUGAGAGGGUGAUCGGCCACAUUGGGACUGAUACACGGCCCAGACUCCUACGGGAGGCAGCAGUGGGGAAUAUUGCACAAUGGGGGAAACCCUGAUGCAGCAACGCCGCGUGAGUGAUGACGGCCUUCGGGUUGUAAAGCUCUGUCUUUGGGGACGAUAAUGACGGUACCCAAGGAGGAAGUCACGGCUAACUACGUGCCAGCCGCCGCCGUAA
This 476-nucleotide ribosomal RNA is filed under the name uncultured bacterium. RNAcentral's name for it is "partial 16S ribosomal RNA". It matches the Rfam family "Bacterial small subunit ribosomal RNA", at positions 28 to 523 of the family's 1533-position model. The record is from RNAcentral.